Oryctolagus cuniculus (rabbit) is the source of this 2892-nucleotide non-coding RNA. The record is from RefSeq and is a predicted model, not a curated record. NCBI's taxonomy places the organism in Eukaryota, Metazoa, Chordata, Mammalia, Lagomorpha, Leporidae.
AUGGCCCACGUGUUCCCCACGGCCCACGUGUUCCCCACAGCCCACGUGUCCCCCACGGCCCACGUGUCCCCCACGGCCCACGUGUUCCCCACAGCCCACGUGUUCCCCACUGCCCACGUGUUCCCCACCACGCACGUGUUCCCCAUGGCCCAGGUGUCCCCCACGGCCCAGGUGUUCCCCACAGCCCAGGUGUCCCCCAUGGCCCACGUGUCCCCCACGGCCCAGUCACACCGUCCCACAGACACCCCUGUCCACAGUCACCCCAUCCCACAGUCCCCCCAUCCCACAGUCCCCCCAUCCCCACAGUCCCCCCAUCCCACAGUCACCCCAUCCCACAGUCCCCCCAUCCCCACAGUCCCCCCAUCCCACAGUCACCCCAUCCCACAGUCCCCCCAUCCCACAGUCAUCCCAUCCCACAGUCCCCCCAUCCCACAGUCACCCCAUCCCACAGUCACCCCAUCCCACAGUCCCCCCAUCCCACAGUCAUCCCAUCCCACAGUCACCCCAUCCCACAGUCACCCCGUCCCACAGUCACCCCAUCCCACAGUCACCCCACCCCACAGUCACCCCGUCCCACAGUCACCCCAUCCCACAGUCCCCCCAUCCCACAGUCAUCCCAUCCCACAGUCACCCCAUCCCCACAGUCACCCCGUCCCCACAGUCACCCCGUCCCACAGUCACCCCAUCCCCACAGUCACCCCGUCCCACAGUCACCCCAUCCCACAGUCACCCCAUCCCCACAGUCACCCCGUCCCCACAGUCACCCCGUCCCACAGUCACCCCAUCCCACAGUCACCCCGUCCCACAGUCACCCCAUCCCCACAGUCACCCCGUCCCCACAGUCACCCCGUCCCACAGUCACCCCAUCCCACAGUCACCCCAUCCCACAGUCACCCCAUCCCCACAGUCACCCCGUCCCCACAGUCACCCCGUCCCACAGUCACCCCAUCCCACAGUCACCCCAUCCCCACAGUCACCCCGUCCCCACAGUCACCCCGUCCCACAGUCACCCCAUCCCCACAGUCACCCCGUCCCCACAGUCACCCCGUCCCACAGUCACCCCAUCCCCACAGUCACCCCGUCCCCACAGUCACCCCGUCCCACAGUCACCCCUGCCCACAGUCACCCCGUCCCACAGUCACCCCGUCCCACAGUCAGCCCUGGGCUGGGCUUCACUGUCCAGGGCAGGGCCUGGUGUUGCAUUCUGAGGCUGGGGCUGGGCAGGGUGAGCCCUGAGCAGGCGGCUUGUGCAAGGUUGGGGACAGGAGGACAGCAGCCUCCUCUCUGCCAGUGCAGUGUGUCCUUGUCUGUCCUGGCGCUGGCCCAGUCCCUACUGAAAUCCAGAGCCUUAACUCACGAGCCGAGGACUCCCCAAACCCCCAUUUACAGCCGGUGGUUCAGCGGUUCCUGUGCCUGGGAAGCUGAUGUGACCGACGCCCUAGCCAGUCCUACGGUGCACUCCGCAGCGCGAGGAGCCCAGAGCCCAUGGCAGUCACUGCCUGCGCCCCGCCCCUGCCCUCGGUGACCACGAGCUGCUCUGUGGCUCGUACACUCUACAAAUAUGCCAUGACCUCACCCAGGACCCCAGAUGCGCCGGGACCUCACCCAGGGUCUAGAUGUGCCGAGACCUCACCCAGGACCCCAGAUGCGCCGGGACCUCGCCCAGGACCCCAGAUGUGCCGGGACCUCGCCCAGGACCCCAGAUGCGCCGGGACCUCACCCAGGGUCUCAGAUGCACUGGGAUCUCACCCAGGACCCACCCCGUCCCUCCUUGCUCCCCCUGGCCUGUUACCCCCACUGGUCCUUGGCUCCCCCAGGAAGCCUUGAGGGGCCUCUGGGGAGUGGUGACCCGACCCCCAGGUGAGCAGUGGCGCGUUGGCCCCUCCUGCUGUGCCCCACCCGCUGGGCACUGAUGCCCUCAUCCGCAUGUGCAGGGACUGUGACGGCUCCGUUCCCCCGUCCCCACACUGAGUGUUUCCUGCAUAUCUCGCCCACAGUCACACCACCCCACAGUCACCCCACCCCACAGAUAUGACUGCAUAUCUCGCCUGGAGUGAACUCCAGAAAACAGAAUCCUGGGACUGCAGGCCUCUGCACCGUCGGGACCCCUGCCACACCCGUGCCGUGCACAGCGGACAGAGCUGGGCGAACCAGCAAGGACUGGGCACAGGGGCACACAGCCCUGGCGGAGCCUCCAUUUCCUCCGGGCACGUGGGGAGACUUCUAUCCUCCUCCUCCUCCCCCCCGAGGAGCUGCACAAACCCUGCUGCUCCCACACAAGCACUCUGCCCUCUGUGCCACACCACCAGGAGCCAGGAGCGUCUUCCAGGCCCCCCCCGAAGGUGCAGGGGCCCAAGCGCUUAGCCAUCCUCCACUGCUUUCCCAGACACAUUAGCAGCGAGCUGGAUCAGAAGUGGAGCAGCCGGGAUACAAGCCGGUGUCCAUAUGGGAUGCCAGCAUCGCAGAUGGUGGCUUCACCCGCUACGCCACAGCGCCAGCCACGGGGCCACUUUAACAAAGUGGCUGAAAAAUCUCUCCAGGCCCCUGCCUCCCCCGCAAAAGGAAGCUGGGGCUAUAGGGGCUGGCACCUGCUCUAUCUCACACUUUGUGGAAUGUUAUUUUCUCUUCUGCUGCAUUAAAAAACUGAUAUUAUGCUUGGGCCCCUGCACCCAUGCGGGAGAACUGGAAGAAGCUCCUGGCUGCUGGUCAUUACGGCCAUUUGGGGAAUGAAUCAGUGGAUGGGAGAUUCUCUCUCUGUGUCUCUCCCUUUCUCUGUGUAACUCUUUUAAAUAAAAAUAAAUAAAACUUAAACAACAACAACAACAAAAAUCGUAUCUCCUAUUAAUGCAGAAGGGCUGUGUCCACAUGGGGCUGAUGUGUGUGCACUCAGCA